CAAUUUUAUUUUGAGCAGACAGAACCAAGAUAUAAAAAGUAAGAGAGAAAGAUGAAAGUAGAAAGGUGAGCCAUGAGUGUUGGAAGGACAGAGGAUGGGCAGAAUGCAAGCCCUCCGGCAUUCUCAAGCGAGGUGGGGGGACACCCGCACAGGAAGAGAUAGUUCCUGAGAAUGUGUCCACUGCCUGUGUGACCCAGGCACCAUGCAGGGCUCACGGGACACAAGCACAAGGCAGGCCAAGGCCAAUGCCAGGGCUCUGAGCUUCGGGAGCGAGGGGAAUUGAGGGCAUGCCCCCCCGGGGUGGGGUCUGCCAGAGACCGCAGGGCUGCACUGUGGCCCAGGGGCGUCACCCUCCGUGUGCACAGCUGGUGUCGGCACGGGCAAGGAAGCUGUUUCCAGAAGGCAGGCACGGUCACCAGACACAGCUGAAGGGUGACAAAGACAGAAGUGCUCCUGGAUGUCCCGGCCACUGAGGACACUGACCAGGGUCAGGGGCCUUGGGGUUGGGCUCCGACGUGGUGACGAGGUGAGUGCGAGGGAGCAUGGGAGACACCGGAGCAGUGACAGGGGCCUUCUUUCCCUGCCCGGAGGAGACCUAGGCCUGUCCACCUCACCACUCAUGUUUAUUUCUUCUAAGUUAAGGUUGCUAAGUCCCACAGGCUCCAAACAAGGGCCACUGUGGGAAGCUGAAUGUCACAUAGAAAACCCACCCUCACUGACUCGAAGAACCGGAACCAGAGCUAGAACUGCGGUCAACUGCAGCAGCCAGAAGUGAGGAGACGUCAGAAGACAAUCACCGAGGGGAGCCCACACCCUGAGCAUGAACGCGGCUCUCUGGUCAACCUAGCUAGCACAUGCUGCAUGUGGUGGGGACAGGGGCUGACAUCAAGCCCAGCCCCAGAGUCUCCAUGGUGGUUUAUCCAUAACGUCCAGGAACUGCUAGACGUGAGGAACAACAACAAGAUGUGACCAAACUCGAGAGAAAAGACAAGGGAACUAACUCGAUGUGAUCCAGAAGCUACUAGUGGGGAAAAUUAUAACAGCAGGUGUAAUACAGGCCCAGGAGCAACAUCAGAGUACUCAACAGGCCUGGUAAACUUGAAGCAACAGUAAAAGCCACCACCAAAAAUGAAAACCAGAGAAAAUUCUGGAAAAAAAAGAGGACAAUCAGUUGAAGCAGGGGAUAGUAUACACAGAUAAUUGGAGUUCCGUAAGGAGAGGAGAGAGGGACAGGAGGGAAUUUCCCCCAGACAGGGAGAAAACACUAGAGGUCACACGCUGGUAAAGGAAAGGUCCCCAGAAUUCAUAAGGGCCACAAGCAACGUUGAGAAGACAGACCCCCAACAAACUGACAGGGGAGGAUUCGGGCACUUGGAGGAGGAGACAAACCUAUGAGCAGCUGCGCGACACCGGUGGUCAGAGAGAGAGGGGCACUGAAACCACCAUGAGCUACCGCGACGCACCCACCAGGACGGCGGAAGUGAAAAACGGGUCGUACCAAACGUGCGCGGAGACGAGGCACAGCUUUGGAGGUCGUGAGCAAAAGUGGCCGCUCGCGCAUAGAAUACCGCCUUUACUUGUAAACGUGACUGCAGGUAAGCGUGGCUACUCAGACUCGGGUUCGUGCCAGACUGUCUCAAAAAGGAACCAAGGGGCCACCACAUCAAGGAAAAGAGGAACAGGCAAGCGUUUUGCCAAGGAUAAAAUCUGAGCUUUCAAACGGAAGGAUUUCAGAAACCUUGCGUAUCGGCCACCACGAGCCGGACGUCUUCCCGAUGCCGUAUUUUCUGACGAGGCUGGUGGUGAUUUCUGCAAAUAUGGUGUUCUGAUACGUAUAAUGAAAUGUGUCAACAGCUUCCAACUCCGCAAACAACAUGAUGUCAUAAAACGAUGUGUGUGUAAAAGAUCUGAGACAGACCAUCGAGUUUUAAACGUGACAGAAUACAACAGCAUUCCAACAUCGCAACUAACUUUUGAGAAUUGCCACCUGGGGCGCCUAGGUGGCUCAGCUGACUUCAGGUCAGGUCAUGAUCUCAUAGUUCGUGAGUUCGAGCCCCACAUUGGGCUCUCUGCUCUCAGCACAGAGCCUGCUUCAAAUCCUCUGUCCUUAAAAAUAAAUAAACAUUAAAAGAAAAGAAUUACCACUUGUUGACUUGUGGCGCAGCAUCAAAGGUGGCCUGCACGUGUCUGAAGAGGCCCCUUCACCUACGUAUUGCUGUGAGGCUACAUUUUCUUCAUAUAUUUCAGCUAAGAAAAACCCUAUUUCACCAAGUUGAGUGCAAAAGCAGAAA
Molecule: long non-coding RNA, 2291 nt
Organism: Neofelis nebulosa (Clouded leopard)
Lineage: Eukaryota; Metazoa; Chordata; Mammalia; Carnivora; Felidae
Exons: 2
Source: RefSeq, a predicted model, not a curated record